UCCAGACUCCUACGGGAGGCAGCAGUCGGGAAUAUUGCGCAAUGGAGGAAACUCUGACGCAGUGACGCCGCGUGCAGGAAGAAGGUUUUCGGAUUGUAAACUGCUUUAGACAGGGAAGAAACAAGACAGUACCUGUAGAAUAAGCUCCGGCUAACUACGUGCCAGCAGCCGCGGUAAUACGUUGGGAGCAAGCGUUAUCCGGAUUUAUUGGGCGUAAAGCGCGCGUAGGCGGCCUGUUAGGUCGGGGGUCAAAUACCGGGGCUCAACCCCGGUCCGCCCCCGAUACCGGCAGGCUUGAGUCUGGUAGGGGAAGGCGGAAUUCCCAGUGUAGCGGUGGAAUGCGCAGAUAUUGGGAAGAACACCGGCGGCGAAGGCGGCCUUCUGGGCCACGACUGACGCUGAGGCGCGAAAGCUAGGGGAGCGAACAGGAUUAGAUACCCGAGUAAA
This 447-nucleotide ribosomal RNA is filed under the name uncultured bacterium. RNAcentral's name for it is "bacterial SSU rRNA". It matches the Rfam family "Bacterial small subunit ribosomal RNA", at positions 330 to 794 of the family's 1533-position model. The record is from RNAcentral.